RNAcentral lists this ribosomal RNA (410 nucleotides) under Verrucomicrobiota bacterium. RNAcentral describes it as "Verrucomicrobia bacterium partial 16S ribosomal RNA". It matches the Rfam family "Bacterial small subunit ribosomal RNA", at positions 355 to 776 of the family's 1533-position model. Lineage: Bacteria; Pseudomonadati; Verrucomicrobiota. The record is from RNAcentral.
UGGGGAAUCUUGCACAAUGGGCGAAAGCCUGAUGCAGCGACGCCGCGUGCGGGAUGAAGGCCUUCGGGUUGUAAACCGCUUUCAGCAGGGACGAGGCCGCAAGGUGACGGUACCUGCAGAAGAAGCCCCGGCUAACUACGUGCCAGCAGCCGCGGUAAUACGUAGGGGGCAAGCGUUAUCCGGAUUCAUUGGGCGUAAAGCUCGCGUAGGCGGUCUGUUAGGUCAGGAGUCAAAUCUGGGGGCUCAACCCCUAUCCGCUCCUGAUACCGGCAGGCUUGAGUCUGGUAUGGGAAGGUGGAAUUCCAAGUGUAGCGGUGAAAUGCGCAGAUAUUUGGAAGAACACCAGUGGCGAAGGCGGCCUUCUGGGCCAUGACUGACGCUGAGGCGCGAAAGCUAGGGGAGCGAACAGG